Molecule: ribosomal RNA, 388 nt
Filed under: uncultured bacterium
Lineage: Bacteria
Description: bacterial SSU rRNA
Rfam family: Bacterial small subunit ribosomal RNA
Source: RNAcentral
GACGAACGCUGGCGGCGUGCUUAACACAUGCAAGUCGAGCGGUAAGGCCCUUUCGGGGGUACACGAGCGGCGAACGGGUGAGUAACACGUGGGUGACCCGCCCUCAGCUCUGGGAUAAGCCUGGGAAACCGGGUCUAAUACUGGAUAUGACUCCAUGACGCACGUUGUGGGGUGGAAAGCCUUGUGCGGCUGAGGAUGGGCCCGCGGCCUAUCAGCUUGUUGGUGGGGUGAUGGCCUACCAAGGCGACGACGGGUAGCCGGCCUGAGAGGGCGACCGGCCACACUGGGACUGAGACACGGCCCAGACUCCUACGGGAGGCAGCAGUGGGGAAUCUUGCGCAAUGGGCGAAAGCCUGACGCAGCGACGCCGCGUGAGGGAUGACGGCCU